This 473-nucleotide long non-coding RNA is filed under the name Cicer arietinum (chickpea). RNAcentral's name for it is "long non-coding RNA (CARI_LNC002700)". The record is from RNAcentral. Lineage: Eukaryota; Viridiplantae; Streptophyta; Magnoliopsida; Fabales; Fabaceae.
AAGAAUAACAAAAAAAAAUAAAAAAAUAGCAGAUGAAAGGAAAACACAUGCAAAAGGAAAGGAAAACACAGGGAAACAAGUACAGAGAAAUAAAGGUUACAACUUAAAGGAAAGAAGAAAAAAUACCUUACUUAUUCUAAUUGAUUCUGUUAGUUUUUUAUGGGGUUUUAAUUUGUUUCUAUUUGUUUUGGGAUGGGUUUAAGAUUCUUCACGAUUUUACUGCUGGUUUGUUUCCUUCUCUGUUUUCACUCUUAGAUCUAUUCAAAAAAAAUCCCUCCCCUCUCUUUGAUUUUUUGGACCCAAUUUAUAGCUAAAACAAUGAAUAUUUAUGUUCAUUAGAUAAAUCUAAUAUCUAAGUUUUGUAUUAUUUCUUAACUGGAUUUUGCAUUGUUUUGUGAUAAAUUUUGAGCAAGGUACGGUUUCUACCUUUUUCCAUUGAGUGCACAGAUAGUUAACUGUUACAAAUAAUUUCU